This 253-nucleotide ribosomal RNA is filed under the name uncultured bacterium. Its description in RNAcentral is "partial 16S ribosomal RNA". It matches the Rfam family "Bacterial small subunit ribosomal RNA", at positions 524 to 776 of the family's 1533-position model. The record is from RNAcentral.
UACAGAGGGUGCAAGCGUUGCUCGGAAUCAUUGGGCGUAAAGGGCAAGUAGGUGGUCUCAUUUGUCUUGUGUGAAAUCCUUGGGCUUAACUCAAGAAGUGCGCAAGAAACGGUGAGACUCGAGUUCUGGAGAGGGUCGUGGAAUUCCCGGUGUAGCGGUGAAAUGCGUAGAGAUCGGGAAGAACAUCGGUGGCGAAAGCGCUCUACUGGACCGCAACUGACACUGAGGGACGAAAGCUAGGGGAGCGAAUGGG